Molecule: microRNA precursor, 80 nt
Filed under: Sorghum bicolor (sorghum)
Lineage: Eukaryota; Viridiplantae; Streptophyta; Magnoliopsida; Poales; Poaceae
Description: miR395k stem-loop (sbi-MIR395k)
Gene: sbi-MIR395k
Source: miRBase by way of RNAcentral
GUUCCCUUCAAGCACUUCACAUGAAGCUUCACAUUGGCAGAUGUAGUCUUGAGACCAAUGUGAAGUGUUUGGAGGAACUC